Molecule: transfer RNA, 75 nt
Filed under: uncultured Actinomycetes bacterium
Lineage: Bacteria; Bacillati; Actinomycetota; Actinomycetes
Also listed under: 1 other name
Description: uncultured actinobacterium tRNA-Gly
Rfam family: tRNA
About the family: Transfer RNA (tRNA) molecules are approximately 80 nucleotides in length. Their secondary structure includes four short double-helical elements and three loops (D, anti-codon, and T loops). Further hydrogen bonds mediate the characteristic L-shaped molecular structure. tRNAs have two regions of fundamental functional importance: the anti-codon, which is responsible for specific mRNA codon recognition, and the 3' end, to which the tRNAs corresponding amino acid is attached (by aminoacyl-tRNA synthetases). tRNAs cope with the degeneracy of the genetic code in two manners: having more than one tRNA (with a specific anti-codon) for a particular amino acid; and 'wobble' base-pairing, i.e. permitting non-standard base-pairing at the 3rd anti-codon position.
Source: RNAcentral
GGGGACGUGGUGUAAUUGGUAGCACAAACGUUUACCAAGCGGCAGGAGCGGGUUCGAACCCCGUCGCCUCCACCA